GAUCAUGGCUACAGAACGAACGCUGGCGGCAUGCCUAACACAUGCAAGUCGAACGAGACCUUCGGGUCUAGUGGCGCACGGGUGCGUAACGCGUGGGAAUCUGCCCUUAGGUUCGGAAUAACUUCGGGAAACUGAAGCUAAUACCGGAUACGUCCGUAAGGAGAAAGAUUUAUCGCCAAAGGAUUGGCCCGCGUCCGAUUAGCUAGUUGGUGAGGUAACGGCUCACCAAGGCUACGAUCGGUAGCUGGUCUGAGAGGAUGAUCAGCCACAUUGGGACUGAGACACGGCCCAAACUCCUACGGGAGGCAGCAGUGGGGAAUAUUGGACAAUGGGCGCAAGCCUGAUCCAGCCAUGCCGCGUGAGUGAUGAAGGCCUUAGGGUUGUAAAGCUCUUUUGUCCGGGAAGAUAAUGACUGUACCGGAAGAAUAAGCCCCGGCUAACUUCGUG
This 447-nucleotide ribosomal RNA is filed under the name uncultured bacterium. Its description in RNAcentral is "bacterial SSU rRNA". It matches the Rfam family "Bacterial small subunit ribosomal RNA", at positions 15 to 507 of the family's 1533-position model. The record is from RNAcentral.